AUUUGCUUAAACCUCUUUUUGCCACCUGUCAACUUAAUAUUCCACACAAUUCUUCUUUGGGCGGCAAUAUACAUCGAUCACUUCCCAUGUUUCUCUUUGAUUGUACCGCCUUUGGCUUUUAUUGGCUUUUAUUGUACAGCCGUUUCAAAACCAAUGCUCCAUCCUCCAAUCCAUCACCAUCUUCAAUUGAAUACUAGCAAUCAAAAUCGAUGAAGGAGGAUUGGUAUCAAGAACCCUAGAUCUAUUAAUAAUUAUGUAUUCCUCUGUUUCUUCAUCGAUUUUUUUCCUUAUUUUGAUAUAUGUAAUGCGUAAUCCUACUCAUUGAUGUCCUGAACGAUUAGGGUUUUACUUUCUCUCUUGAGUCGGUUGCUGCAAGAUGCUGGAGACGCUGCCAAGAAGAAGAACUAAACCUGAGAGAGUUUGCUGUAUUUUUCAAAAUCAUGUUAGCAUCCUUUUUUAUUUAUCUGGUGUUCAACUUCUUGACGCGUCUUUUCAAGUUUGAUCGAUUAUUACCUUCAUGAGAUAAACUGAGUUUUGUUUAGAACUUGAUAUAGCAAGGGUAAUUUUUUGUUGACUGCAGCUGAGUUUGUUGUUCAUUUUUGAGUGUUUGAUUCCAUCAUUUUAAGUAGCUUAAUUACACUACCAGUUAUCACUUUGGUGAUUUUAUUGGUAAAAGUGGUAAAGUUACUUGGUAUUUGCAAUUUGAUUAUUGUUGAGUGAGUAGUGUUGCACCUGUUGUGUUAGCUAUUCCUCUUCAUGUCUGAGUUUCUUUUUUUUGUUGAUUGUGGUUAUGAACUUAAAAUCUGUAUGAUCUGAAUUAGGGGUUUUGUUGGUUUUUCAUCUGAUUGGUUAAUUUGAUUUCCAGAUGUCAUGUUUUUAAAGGGUAGAAUAUGGUUGAAGUAAUAUCAAAUUCUGCACACCAACUGUUUGAUAGUAUGUCUAGGGCUUUUAUUAUGGUUAAUUUUGAAGCAAGUUUAGCUGCUCAUUGUGUUACAGAUCUCAGCAACUUCUAAUGAUUCUCUGAAACAAAUGAAAUUGUUUAGCAAAUCUUUCCAUGUUUUAUAAAGAAGGACAAAGAAUGAGUAGUGAUGGAAUUAGGAUAUGGGAUGCGAAGAAAGGAAAGUUUAAUAAUUUUAUUCAUGUAUUUUGUAAGAUUGUUACAGUUUUCUUCUUUACUCGAACACCAAGUUAGAUUUGAGCAUAUAUCUAACUUAUGGUUGUAUGAUGGUUCUUAGAUGAUAACAUAUUUCACCGGACCCAGUUCAAGCUUUCAUGAUUCACAAAAUAUGACUAGCAUGAUUAGACUAUGAGUUGAAUUCAUGUCGGUGACCGGUGAUUCGAUCAUAUAAAGCCUAAACACGAUCAGUUUCAGGUAUAAAAUUGUUUUUGUUGAGAGUGAGAGAGUCCAUAUCAUUAUAGUGAUAGAAGAUGGCCUCACUUUGUCGUUUGGUUGGAGUAAACAUGGCAGCUUGGUACAGGCUCAAUGAAAAAUGGUGAGUAAAGAUGAACAAAGGAAAAAAAGAUGCCCGAAGAAAUGGGAGAUAAAGUGAAAUCCGUGGUGUGUGGAAUAUAUGUCGUUAAACUUGGAAAGGUUCAUUUUUGGUUAAUUUCGGUUAAUUUGUUUGGUUGUUUUGACAAGCGCCGCAACGUGCACGGGUUUGGAUUUACUUGUGUACUUAAAUCUUUUUUUAGUCAAUAUUUUUGUACUUAAAUCAACAACAUUAUUUUACCCAUUAAUAGAGCUCUAUCUCAAUUAGAUUCUCCUAAUA
Helianthus annuus (common sunflower) is the source of this 1769-nucleotide long non-coding RNA. RefSeq lists it as uncharacterized. NCBI's taxonomy places the organism in Eukaryota, Viridiplantae, Streptophyta, Magnoliopsida, Asterales, Asteraceae. The record is from RefSeq and is a predicted model, not a curated record. The transcript has 5 exons.